This 28-nucleotide non-coding RNA is filed under the name Mus musculus (house mouse). The record is from RNAcentral. Lineage: Eukaryota; Metazoa; Chordata; Mammalia; Rodentia; Muridae. RNAcentral also lists the same sequence under 1 other name.
UGCAUCUAUUUCUUCCUGGGGCCAGUUC